CGGGGACAGGAGUCGGACCAAUCGCCACCCCUCUCACUAAUCCAUUGCAGCCAAUCAGACUGCGGAGAAGGCGGGAACCCGCCUCCUUCGGCAGCGGCUAAUCAGAGGGAACAGCACAGCCGGCUUAGGCCUGACCCCGCCCACACAACCCUGCCAGCCAAUCGCCGCACUCUUGCAAGUGGCCAACGGAAACGCGAGACGCCGAACCGGGCCUGCCGCGCUCCGCCGGGCCGGGAUCCCUGUCCCCGGAGUCGUGUGUCCGCCCCGAGCAGCGCGAACCCGGGUUUGUUCCCGGCCCUCAUCUCCGGGCUCCAGGCGGGCAGCGCGGAGCGGCCUUUAUUUCCGCGGCCUGAAAUCCGAUCUACAGGGCCCCGGGCGCACCGCAGCACGGCCGCUCGGAGCCGGUCCCUUAUCUGCAGUACCCCCACGCUGCAACGCCCGGUUGUCACCACAGGAGCGCGGCACUGAGCUCGGUUUUAUUUUCUCUGGCUUUCGCCUGGAUGCGAUUACGUUUGCAGCACAGGAGGGCGGCACCGACCCGCAUAGUUCCCUCGCCGUAUCUCCGGGCUCCAAGGCCCGCUCCAGCCCCAGGCGGGCAGCGCGGCGCCGGGUUGGGUGCCUGCCCAGCAAUGCCCGGCGCGGCCACAGGAGGGCGGCUCUGAGCAGGGCUUAUUCUCCGCCUUCACGUGCUGCGGCAAUGCCCCGACGGGACCACAGGAGGGCAGCACCGAGCCCUCGACACAGCUCCGCCGCGGACUGACUGAACCACAGGAGGGCAGCACUGAGCCGGGUCUUUCUUCACACAAAGAAUGGCUGCACAGGAUACCUAUUCUAUCUGUAUUAACCUCAGACACCCGUACAUGGUUAUACACAAGUAUGACAGGAAAAAUCCCAAACUCUCCCCUGGCACUGAACUGAUGUCCUGUGGUGCUUCCUGAACAACAGGUUUUUCAUUUAUUUUUCUCUUUACAAAACGAAAAAUUGGUGUUUUGCAAGGUGGUCUCUAGAGAGGUUGCAGCAUCAGCCCAGAACCAAACAGUCCUUCCUGGGGGUCCAUGUGCACCCCCCUCAGACCACCUCCCAGCAUAUCGAGGAGACGGUGGCUAUGGAAGCGGGAGGACAGAAAAGAAGCACUGGGACAGACAAACAGCUUCAAGCUGAGAGAAAUAAAGAGCGUAGGAGCAAGGAAAGCUCUUCGCCACCGACCUUGCAACUCUCCCCUUGCAGCUGGGAAAUAGUGGUGGAGCCAUGCUGCAAACUGUGAUGGGACAAGGGGUUUCAUGGGAGGCCUCUGGGAGAAGUGGGAGUCAGAGGCUGACAGAAACAUUAGGUCACAGGCCCUGUGGUGUUGGGCACAGGAAAAAGGCCUGUUUCUCAGCAGCCCACACAGGGACCCGUUGCAGACAUGACAGCUGUCAGGGGCCCUUCAACCCCAGGCCUUUAGGUGCUAUUGUCACACUGAACCUCCUCACCCAUAAGCUGGUUCCAAGGACAAGUGCACAAGGACUAGCCUGUGAGUAAGGGCAGAUCCACAUCAGACACUUUCACCUGAAGAAAAACGCUCACACUGUUAACCAUCAAUCCGUUAACCACAGAUAAGGGUAAAAUAACCCUGCUGCCAGCCUGAGCCAUUUUCAAGGCAUCUAGGCUAAGCUGGAGAAGUGCUGCAAACAGAAGGCCCAAAGCCUUAUUCUGAGUGACUGCAGCAUGAACCUUUGCACAUGUGACAACUAAGUUGGUCACCAAGUAAAGGAAACCAUCAAAUAAUUAAACAAAGCACCAGGCCUAAAAGGAGCUAAGAAAAGUCUAAACAUUAAAUAAUCCACAUAAGCAACAUUAUAGCUUUAUCAUUAAGUAGUAGUAGUGGUAGCAACUGAUGUAACUCAAUGAGUAUCUAUAAAUAUUGGCAUAGGCUGAAGGGAAAUUUGGAGAACUCAGCAAAUGCAAGAAAACUUGCUGCCAAUCUGUGUACCACCCUCCUCCCACCUCCUGAGUCUCCCCAGCCAAUGUAAGUGAACACCUAUGUUGUGUGGUUGUGGAUAGGCAGGAAGACUUUGAAAUAAAGGUUUGUUCUCCCGUUUCAAGGUGCAAACAAAUAAAAGGUGGGGCUAUAGACUUACUUCUGCCUCUCUUAUCAGCAGCCUACCCACAAGGUUACCUGUAAUCUAGGUAACAGGAGGCAGGGGUGGCGAGAGGGAGGGGGUUGCAGGGUGAUUCCUCCCUCAGGCUGUAGAUACAGCCAAUGGCUGACAGGCCACAUGGACUCUUUCAAACUACAGACCUAGCAGAAGCCUGACUUAUGCAUGACAUGUAUAAGUCAUGGGUCUCGGAGGCGGGGAACAGCACCCUGGUCCCCCCAUGGCCGAUCGUCAAGCCAGGGGAGCACAGGGGGGCCCUUGCACAUCCUCCAGACGACCCAGAAGUACUUCCUGUCUACUUCCAGGUUCGUUGCCAAGCACGUGGAGGGCCACCCCCCCCCAACUCCAUGCACCCCAGCAUUGCAGUGUUCACAAGCCACAUUGGUACCUUGAGGUAUAUAGACACAGCUUUAAAAGUUUUUCCUAUGUCCAAAUCAGCAUCAAAUCUUCAGAUUCGGCCAAAUUGAAUCAGGGACAGCAAUCUGAAUCAAUGAAUCGAAUCACUGUCCCCAAUUACGGCCGAAUCCAAAUCGGAUCAGGCCCACUUUGCACACCCCUAAUGAGCAGCGCUCCUCCAUCUCAGAGUUGUAUUUUUCCCCAGGGACAGAGGCUCCAGAUAAAUGGCAUCUUCCAAGUCCACAGGAAAACAGGUUCACUUUCAUUCCCAAGCUUUCACUGAGACAGCUGUGUGACACCUAUCAGAAUUCUAAUAUUAUAAAAACCUACGCCUGUC
Molecule: long non-coding RNA, 2871 nt
Organism: Alligator mississippiensis (American alligator)
Lineage: Eukaryota; Metazoa; Chordata; Crocodylia; Alligatoridae
Exons: 2
Source: RefSeq, a predicted model, not a curated record